Molecule: ribosomal RNA, 502 nt
Filed under: uncultured bacterium
Lineage: Bacteria
Description: partial 16S ribosomal RNA
Rfam family: Bacterial small subunit ribosomal RNA
Source: RNAcentral
AUUGAACGCUGGCGGCAGGCUUAACACAUGCAAGUCGAGCGGGGUGAUGGUGCUUGCACUAUCACUUAGCGGCGGACGGGUGAGUAAUGCUUAGGAAUCUGCCUAUUAGUGGGGGACAACAUCUCGAAAGGGAUGCUAAUACCGCAUACGUCCUACGGGAGAAAGCAGGGGAUCACUUGUGACCUUGCGCUAAUAGAUGAGCCUAAGUCGGAUUAGCUAGUUGGUGGGGUAAAGGCCUACCAAGGCGACGAUCUGUAGCGGGUCUGAGAGGAUGAUCCGAACACUGGGACUGAGACACGGCCCAGACUCCUACGGGAGGCAGCAGUGGGGAAUAUUGAACAAUGGGGGGAACCCUGAUCCAGCCAUGCCGCGUGUGUGAAGAAGGCCUUAUGGUUGUAAAGCACUUUAAGCGAGGAGGAGGCUCUUUUGGUUAAUACCCAAGAUGAGUGGACGUUACUCGCAGAAUAAGCACCGGCUAACUCUGUGCCAGCCGCCGCGGUAA